CAGUAGCCGCGGUAAUACGUAGGGUGCAAGCGUUAAUCGGAACUACUGGGCGUAAAGCGUGCGCAGGCGGUUAUAUAAGUCAGAUGUGAAAUCCCCGGGCUCAACCUGGGAACUGCAUUUGAGACUGUAUGGCUAGAGUGUGUCAGAGGGGGGUAGAAUUCCACGUGUAGCAGUGAAAUGCGUAGAUAUGUGGAGGAAUACCGAUGGCGAAGGCGACUCUCUGGUCUGUAACUGACGCUGAGGAGCGAAAGCGUGGGGAGCGAACAGGAUUAGAUACCCCCGUAGUCCCUGUCUCUUAUAA
This 301-nucleotide ribosomal RNA is filed under the name uncultured bacterium. Its description in RNAcentral is "partial 16S ribosomal RNA". It matches the Rfam family "Bacterial small subunit ribosomal RNA", at positions 509 to 809 of the family's 1533-position model. The record is from RNAcentral.